UACGUAGGUGGCAAGCGUUGUCCGGAAUUAUUGGGCGUAAAGAGCUUGUAGGCGGUUUGUCGCGUCUGCUGUGAAAUUUCGGGGCUCAACCCCGAACUUGCAGUGGGUACGGGCAGACUAGAGUGUGGUAGGGGGAGACUGGAAUUCCUGGUGUAGCGGUGAAAUGCGCAGAUAUCAGGAGGAACACCGAUGGCGAAGGCAGGUCUCUGGGCCAUAACUGACGCUGAGAAAGCGAAAGCCAGGGGGAGCAAACGGG
Molecule: ribosomal RNA, 256 nt
Filed under: uncultured bacterium
Lineage: Bacteria
Description: partial 16S ribosomal RNA
Rfam family: Bacterial small subunit ribosomal RNA
Source: RNAcentral